UACGGAGGAUCCGAGCGUUAUCCGGAUUUAUUGGGUUUAAAGGGUGCGCAGGUUGUUUGAUAAGUCAGUGGUGAAAGUCUGUCGCUUAACGGUAGGAUUGCCAUUGAUACUGUUAGACUUGAAUAUGGAUGAGGUAGGCGGAAUGUGUAGUGUAGCGGUGAAAUGCAUAGAUAUUACACAGAACACCGAUUGCGAAGGCAGCUUACUAAUCCAUCAUUGACGCUGAGGCACGAAAGCGUGGGGAUCAAACAGGACUA
This 257-nucleotide ribosomal RNA is filed under the name uncultured prokaryote. RNAcentral describes it as "partial 16S ribosomal RNA". It matches the Rfam family "Bacterial small subunit ribosomal RNA", at positions 524 to 780 of the family's 1533-position model. The record is from RNAcentral.